GAAAGAAAACAUCGACAUAUACUUAAUGUGGCGCGAGCAUUGUGAUUCCAAGGAAAUCUCCCAAUUGAUAUUUGGGGAGAAUGUAUUUUGACGGCAACGUUAGGGAGUCCGGAUACGUCGGCGGGGCCCCCUAGAAAUAUAUCUUUUCUGUUUAAUAGUUGGAAGAGCACCGCACAUCGCAUGGUGUCCGAUGCGUCCCUGGUGGCCCUUGAAAAUCCAGACCGAGUGCCAUCCAUGCCCGGUCGUAUUUAUAACCGCAUCAGGUCUCCAAGGUGAACAGCCUCU
Molecule: ribosomal RNA, 285 nt
Filed under: Trifolium pratense (red clover)
Lineage: Eukaryota; Viridiplantae; Streptophyta; Magnoliopsida; Fabales; Fabaceae
Description: rRNA LSU_rRNA_eukarya
Rfam family: Eukaryotic large subunit ribosomal RNA
Source: RNAcentral